UACGUAGGCAGCAAGCGUUGUUCGGAGUUACUGGGCGUAAAGGGUGUGUAGGCGGUUUUUUAAGUUUGGUGUGAAAUCUCCCGGCUCAACUGGGAGGGUGCGCCGAAUACUGAGGGACUAGAGUACGGGAGAGGAAAGUGGAAUUCCUGGUGUAGCGGUGAAAUGCGUAGAUAUCAGGAGGAACACCGGUGGUGUAGACGGCUUUCUGGACCGACACUGACGCUGAGACACGAAAGCGUGGGUAGCAAACAGG
This 253-nucleotide ribosomal RNA is filed under the name uncultured bacterium. RNAcentral describes it as "partial 16S ribosomal RNA". It matches the Rfam family "Bacterial small subunit ribosomal RNA", at positions 524 to 776 of the family's 1533-position model. The record is from RNAcentral.